GACGAACGCUGGCGGCGUGCUUAACACAUGCAAGUCGAACGGAAAGGCCCUGCUUUUGCGGGGUGCUCGAGUGGCGAACGGGUGAGUAACACGUGAGUAACCUGCCCUUGAAUUUGGGAUAACUUCAGGAAACUGGGGCUAAUACCGGAUAGGAGCUCCUGCUGCAUGGUGGGGGUUGGAAAGUUUCGGCGGUUGGGGAUGGACUCGCGGCUUAUCAGCUUGUUUGUGGGGUAGUGGCUUACCAAGGCUUUGACGGGUAGCCGGCCUGGGAGGGUGGCCGGCCACAUUGGGACUGAGAUACGGCCCAGACUCCUACGGGAGGCAGCAGUGGGGAAUAUUGCACAAUGAGCGGAAGCCUGAUGCAGCAACGCCGCGUGCGGGAUGACGGCCUUCGGGUUGUAAACCGCUUUCGCCUGUGACGAAGCGUGAGUGACGGUAAUGGGUAAAGAAGCACCGGCUAACUACGUG
Molecule: ribosomal RNA, 468 nt
Filed under: uncultured bacterium
Lineage: Bacteria
Description: partial 16S ribosomal RNA
Rfam family: Bacterial small subunit ribosomal RNA
Source: RNAcentral